RNAcentral lists this transfer RNA (86 nucleotides) under Rhizoctonia solani AG-1 IB. Its description in RNAcentral is "tRNA-Leu". It matches the Rfam family "tRNA". Rfam says of the family: Transfer RNA (tRNA) molecules are approximately 80 nucleotides in length. Their secondary structure includes four short double-helical elements and three loops (D, anti-codon, and T loops). Further hydrogen bonds mediate the characteristic L-shaped molecular structure. tRNAs have two regions of fundamental functional importance: the anti-codon, which is responsible for specific mRNA codon recognition, and the 3' end, to which the tRNAs corresponding amino acid is attached (by aminoacyl-tRNA synthetases). tRNAs cope with the degeneracy of the genetic code in two manners: having more than one tRNA (with a specific anti-codon) for a particular amino acid; and 'wobble' base-pairing, i.e. permitting non-standard base-pairing at the 3rd anti-codon position. The record is from RNAcentral. Lineage: Eukaryota; Fungi; Basidiomycota; Agaricomycetes; Cantharellales; Ceratobasidiaceae.
GGCGAGAUGGCCGAGUGGUCUAAGGCGCUAGGUUCAGGUCUCCUAGUCUGAUUUUUCAGGCGUGGGUUCAAAUCCCACUCUCGUCA